GCAUCCACCGCUCUACACGGGUCUUCUGGGAAGCCACAUUUGUAGACUUUUCUUGGAUGUAUAGGCUGAGCUUGGCAAUUGUUACCCCUCAUGGAAACACAGAAUUCCCACGAGCCUCGUCUAUGAAUCUCAAGUUGGAUUUUGCUUUUUUUUUGUGGAUUUAUCAAUUUCUGGUGGUCCAAUUCUGGAUUUAUUCAUUAGAAAUGGGAUAUAAUUACAGUAACGGAGGCCAGGAAUCCCGUUGGAGAGGACGUGACCAAGGAUCCUACGAAGCAGAGGUCACCAUGUCCCAGAUGUCUAUCCUGCAUGGACCCUUACGGGCGGCGUUGUUAACGGUUCAUCACCAAGCCUUCUUCAACUCUUGGUCUAGUGGUGGUGAUGACGUCACAUGAACAUGUUUCCAGCCAAUCACAGCAGGAGCAUGUCGUAAAAGCAGAUGGAAUACCACAAAAACUUGUGUCCGGAGAGACGUAAAGAAGAGAAUGAUACUUUUUUCUAAACCGCGGUCAUUCAGGACGUGAAGAACUUGUGUGGAUAUGAAAUAUCGAAUUCUUCAUAAAGUUUGUUCUUUUCAAGGCCAAGGAGUUUCUAGAAAAGUGUCCAAGGAAGGUCAGCAGUUCGUCGCUGGACACAGAUUCCAACUUGUUUUCGACACCCCAGGACCUGCGGAGCCCCCGCUGUAACAUAAAUGGCUGCCAUCGAGAGAACCAAAGCUUCACGAGGAUGAUGGGAUUGUAUUAUUUACUUUCUUCAACAAACACUGAAGGCCAGAAGUCUAAGCGUUUAACCCACCCUGUGAAUUCUGCCGGAAUACAGAAAGAACGGAGUCUGAUUGGUGAAAUGCGUCAGAUACCCUUCCUGUGGAAUAAA
This is a long non-coding RNA of Spea bombifrons (plains spadefoot toad), 870 nucleotides long. RefSeq lists it as uncharacterized. Lineage: Eukaryota; Metazoa; Chordata; Amphibia; Anura; Pelobatidae. The record is from RefSeq and is a predicted model, not a curated record. The transcript is spliced from 3 exons.